CCAUCUCUACUAAAGAUACAAAAAUUAGCUGGAUGUGGUGGCACUCACCUGUAAUCCCAGCUACCUGGGAGGCUGAGGCAGGAGAAUCACUUGAACCUGGGAGGCAGAGGUUGUGGUGAGCCGAGAUGGCACCACUGCACUCAGCCUGGGCAACAGAGUGAGACGCUGUCUCAAAAAAAAAAAAAAAAGAAAGAGGAUUAUGAGGAAGAGCAGGCUUUCAACACUGAUGGGACUGGCUUGUUUUACAAGGGCACUGGCAAACAAACCUAUGUAACACAAAUGGCAUUUCAACUGACAAAAAUGUUGAGACCGGAGGCUCACAAGAACCUCACUGUGUAUUGCUCCAAAAGCUAUAGUAAUCACUAGUUCAAUGUUUGGAGUGACUUCAUAGAUUGUGAUUGCUGCAAAUGAUGAGAAUCAACUCUACAUAGAAAUAAAUGUAACAAAAGAAGUGCAAUACUUCUGAAAACUCUAAAACAGUGUUGAACGAUAUUAAAACUUCAAAUAAAUGGAAAAAUAUCUCACUUUCAUGGAUUUGGAGACUUAAUAUUGUUAAGAUAGCAAUAUUUCCUAAAUUGAUUCACUGAUUCAACAUAAUCCCUUUCAAAAUCCCAGCUGCCUCUUGCCAAAAUUGACAAGCUAUACAUCUGUUUGACAGACCUAGUGCAAUUACUGGGUGCUGCUAAGGUUCUCACUACAGAUGCAAGAAAAAGGUGUCAUUGUCCUUUCUGUCUGUCUUAUUGUGGUAGCCAAGACUGAAUAGAGGAAAACAGAGGAAAAAUAUGGACAGAGAAGUUUCGCAGAUCAGAAAUAACCUUGUAAACAGUGAAGAGCCUGUUUUACUCCAAACAAGAACCCAAAAUUUGAGUAUACAUGAGAAGUGUUGAGAAAUACCUCCUACCACCCUCACCUGGUUGAUUACACUUAAGUAAAAGCUUGAAGGUUAAGACAAUGAAAAGCAAGCCAGUUGGGGACUGUGGGGGGAAGAAAUCGACAAGCUGAUCCUAAAAUUCAUAUGGAAAUUCAAGGGAUCUAGAAUAACCAAAGCAAUCUUGGAAAAGGAGAAUGAAGUAGGAAGGCUCAUAUUCACUGACAGUGAUCAAGGCAGUGUGAAAGGAUAGACACAUAAAGUCAGGCACAAUGGCUCACGCCUGUAAUCCCAGCACUUUGGGAGCCCAAGGAGGGUGGAUCACCUGAGGUCAGGAGUUUGAGACCAGCCUGGCCAACAUGGUGAAACCCCAUCUCUACUAAAAAUACAAAAUCAGCCAGCUGUAGCGGCAUAUGCAUUUGAUCCCAGCUACUUGGGAGGCUGAGGCAGGAGAAUUGCUUGAACCUGGGAGGCAGAGGUUGCAGAGAGCCAAGGUCGUUCCAUUGCACUCCACCCUGGGCAACAAGAGCGGAAACUCCGUCUCAAAAAAAAAAAAAAGAAAGGACAGACACAUAAACCAGUGAAACAAAAGAGAGAGCUCAGAAAUAGAACCACACUAAUAUAGUCAACUGAUUUUUAUCAAAGAUAGAAAGGCAAUUCAAUGAAGA
RNAcentral lists this long non-coding RNA (1536 nucleotides) under Homo sapiens (human). Its description in RNAcentral is "HSALNT0090231". The stretch from base 642 to 775 matches the Rfam family "Small nucleolar RNA SNORA31". The record is from RNAcentral. Lineage: Eukaryota; Metazoa; Chordata; Mammalia; Primates; Hominidae.